This 76-nucleotide transfer RNA is filed under the name Stemonidium hypomelas. Its description in RNAcentral is "tRNA-Leu". It matches the Rfam family "tRNA". From Rfam's summary of the family: Transfer RNA (tRNA) molecules are approximately 80 nucleotides in length. Their secondary structure includes four short double-helical elements and three loops (D, anti-codon, and T loops). Further hydrogen bonds mediate the characteristic L-shaped molecular structure. tRNAs have two regions of fundamental functional importance: the anti-codon, which is responsible for specific mRNA codon recognition, and the 3' end, to which the tRNAs corresponding amino acid is attached (by aminoacyl-tRNA synthetases). tRNAs cope with the degeneracy of the genetic code in two manners: having more than one tRNA (with a specific anti-codon) for a particular amino acid; and 'wobble' base-pairing, i.e. permitting non-standard base-pairing at the 3rd anti-codon position. The record is from RNAcentral. Lineage: Eukaryota; Metazoa; Chordata; Actinopteri; Anguilliformes; Serrivomeridae.
GCUAAGGUGGCAGAGUCCGGUAAUUGCAGAAGGCCUAAGAUCUUCCUACCAGGGGUUCAAAUCCCCUCCUUCAGCU